GGAAAUCUAUGAAUUUUCAAUAGCAAGGAUUUUUGUCAUGGAUUCCUCAAAUCUCUUGUUUGGAUAAACUAUACAAAAUUCAUGGAUUCCUCGCAAUCAUUUCCAUAUCUAUUGUUUGGUAACAAAACUUGGUACAAUUCUCUCUCUACAUUUUUUUAUACUUUCUCUCUCUAAAACUCAAAAGUUGGGAUAGUGUAUCUAUAAAAAAUUUGAGAUAGUUUCUAUCUCUAAAAUUUGAUAUUGUUUCUCUCUCUUCCUCUCCCCCUCUCUCGAUCUCUAUCUCUCUCCUUUAUCUUGUUGCCAUCUCCCUCAUCUCUGCCACUCUUCGCUCUUAUCUCUUCCGCUCUUUGUCUUAACCUCUCUCUCUCUUUCAUACCCUCUUCUUCUUAUCCUUCUAAC
This 399-nucleotide long non-coding RNA is filed under the name Amborella trichopoda. RNAcentral describes it as "long non-coding RNA (ATRI_LNC000382)". The record is from RNAcentral. Lineage: Eukaryota; Viridiplantae; Streptophyta; Magnoliopsida; Amborellales; Amborellaceae.